RNAcentral lists this long non-coding RNA (2390 nucleotides) under Sus scrofa (pig). Its description in RNAcentral is "lncRNA (ENSSSCG00005037363.1)". The record is from RNAcentral. Lineage: Eukaryota; Metazoa; Chordata; Mammalia; Artiodactyla; Suidae.
UGCCCAUGUUAUAAGAAAUUAGAAAUGUUGGAGAUGGCUAUGUGUUAUUUGAACAUUAGUCCAAAGGAAAUGUUUAAAAUAAAUGAUGACUGUUCUUCAGUUUCUGUUUGUGAGAUAUGAACCAUAGUACUUGGCCAGGAAAAGGUAUUAUUGGCAGAAAAUUAGUAUAGAUUUUAUGUAGGCUAAGUGAAUAACUCAUGAUCUUUGUUCAUAUGAUUACUAGCAUUUUAUAAUUAGUCCAGCAUUCCUGUGUACAAACAUUCCUUUAUCAAAUAAUGUACUUUGCAAACCAUACUAUAUUUUAGUACAUGACUAUUUUAUACCUAAGUUAAAAUAUAUACCCCAAAACCUUAUACUAUAUACUGUAGUAAAACUGAAGUGACACAUUCAGCUUUUAAGCCAUACCCCUUUAGUGGGCUACAUUGUUCAGUCAGGCUGGUGUUAACCUUUAUGCUUUUGUUUGUUUUUUUAAUCAAAGCAUAAAUACUGCAUUGGUAGAGCCUGAAGAAUUUUUAGUCACUUUAAUAGAAAUGUCAAAAAUGACAUAUUAAAAAUUAUGAAAAAAAUUUCUGCACUUAUCUGAGGAAAUAAGCAUCUCAAGUGUUAAAAGAACAAGCCUGCAUUAUUUAGAGAUGAAAAUGAUUCUUUCUGUCAAAAUAACUUAUUAAUUACUCAGCAAAAGAAAGUCUAAAUUAUCAGUCCUUUAAUGUUGUAUGAUCUGGGCAAGAAGCAUAAAUUGCAGAGGCAUUCCCUUAUCAUAGGGAAAUAAAAACAUAAAACAUAAAAACAUCUGAAAAGAAAAUCUAUCAUUCCUAUAUUUAGUGUCUCAGAGUUUUUCCCCCAAAAGAUGCUUGUCAAAUACUGUGCUUCAUGGUUAAAAUCCCAGUUUCCAGACUAAAUGUGGUAAGAAAUAUGUCUUAUAUCCCAAAAUCUUGGUGUACUUGUACUUCUGGGGUUUUAUUUCCCUGUAAUUUUUUAAAGCUUUUAAAAGUUCUUAACUACAGCUCAAAGACUAAAGUCAAAACAUACAGGUAGGCAUUUAUAUUUCAGCCUGGUAUUUUGGAGGUGUGUUUGUCAAUGAUUUCUAUAUUAAUAAUAUAAUUCUUUCAUGCUAUAAUGUUAAAUUUAAAAAAUUGUAUUAUAGGUAAAAGGUAAUAUAACAUCAAACAAAUAUUUUUGUACUCUAUAUUGAGAGCUUUUUUUUUUUUUUUCCAAAUUGGAAUUAAUCUAUUGAAACCUAAGAGGUAGGCAAAUGUCUUCUGUUGAUGUACAUAAAAAUAGGCAAUAAGUUUGAUGCUCAUGAGCAUCAGACCUCUAACAAAAGCUAAUUAAACUGUUUUCCAAAGAUAGGUAAAAUUUAUCAGAGGUAUUUAAGAUUUAUAAACUCUGAAAAGCCAGCUCUUCCUAGUCUUCUGUUUGUAACUUACUCUACCUACUGCAAGGUAUUUUUGUAAGAAUGCCAGUGUAAGAAAUCAACCAUUCUUCCCAGAUGGUCUGAUCAGUAUUUCUUUUAUCUACUGCUGAGAGAAAAGAUGAGUUAGGUAAUCUAUAAAUAUAUAGUCUGCAUUUAAAUACUGUCAAAACCAUCAAUAAUUAGGCUGUACCAGGAAACAGAGCUUUGCAGAAAGUAUGUGUGUAGGAAAGCACUAUCUUUUCCUGUUCUGCCAGCACUAGUCUUGCUCUUUAGCCAUAUAGCACAAGGCCAUUUUUAAAAAAGACUCUCAGAGCCGGAAGAAACCCCAGUGCCUAGUGGGGCCGUGCCUUGAAGUCACCUUGGCAGCUUUUGCUUUUGUUUUUUCAAAUGCACUUGACUGUGCCCCCCUCCCCAGUUGUAAUUGGAAGGGGAACAUAUAUAUAUGUAGAAAGAUUUUUCUCAAUUAUAAUGUCAUCCCUCCCACCUCUAACCUUAUAAUGACCUAAGGAGUUUCUCGUUUAUUUAUGCUCAUAUUGUUAGUGACAGAGUCAUGUGAGGUCUUUUUUGCAGUAAAUACUAUAAGUAGAAUCUUCUGUUUUACAUACUUAGCUAUUAAAAAAAAAAUCCUAAAACUAUCAUUUGAAAUCCAGAAAGCAUUAUGAAAAUCGAUUCUUUGCAACUGAAAGAUUAUCCCCUGUGCCUAGAGUAUCUAAAGGUAAAAAAAUUUGCAAAAUUGCUUAUCUCCCUAAGUGAAGAAAUUCUAGCUCUAUCUGCUGCCCAACCUGAGAACUGUGACUUAAACAUUUAAUUAUUUAUUGUUGGUCCGUGUGAAAACAUUUAGAAUGGCUGGCAGCCUACCAGACCCUGAGUUAAACAUUCUACAGCCUGACUAGACUGCUGGGUAGCCAACUUCACAUCAGAUUAAACACAUUCUCUUCAUGAUGAAUAGCUUGGAACCCAAAAACUUGAUUUUGUU